GUUAAAUUUUUUUUAAAAAUGUCCAUAAAAUCCUUUUAAACUAUAAACAAGGCAACUGGGAUACAAUUUGGUAGGGAUGUGCAUGGGCAAAAAAAUUGGUUUGGAAAUUUGGGUAAGUAAAAUUUUUUUGUCUGUUUUAGCAAUUCGGACCAAUGGCAUUCAGUUCGGUUCAGCACUUUGGAACUGCCGAACGUCGUCACUUCAGAACUUCGGUAGCAUCAAAAUGUCUGAAUGACAUAAAAUUUGUACGAAUGUACAUUUGGUACAAAAUGAAUUGCACAUGUCUACUGGUCACAUGAAUGCAAGCCAACACCCUGACAGCCUCAAUGACUCUGUGUGCCUUCAUUGUCCAAGUGUCAGUGACAAAAUCCCCAUUAAUUGGCUGUCCUCUAACAUCAAUGACAAAAAUGUGCUCAUUUCAUUGGACAAGGAAUGGUGAAACUGGAUUGGGCAUUACCUUGCACAAAGGAAUUGGCUUAUUGAUCAAGAUUCCUCUCAUCAUUCACAUUAUUUUCCCUCCCUCUUUCUUGUUUUGCCACUUUUCAGAAACCUGAAUCUUUUUGGCCCUUCUGAACUACCGAACUUCGUCACCUCGGAGCUUCAGGACUUCCAUCCAAAUGUCUGAAUGGCAUGAAAUUUGUGUGAAUGUACAUUCGGAACAAAACAAAUUGCACAUGUCUACAACUUGGAAAUUGAAUUGUUAAAAGAUGAGACACAAAUUAAAAAGGUAUAAAAUGUAAGGAAACACUUACACAUACAGUUUAAAUGUUUGACUUCUUACUAAAGUGAAAAUGCAAAGUGAAUUCAAAUGUAAGGUCAAAAUAGCUUGGCUUGAAAAUGUCAGCUAUGCUUUCAGUUCAAAUACUUUGGCCUUAAUUUGAAAUUCACUUGGAAUUCUCACUUUAGUCAAUAACACUGAUAGUCUAUUCCUCUACCUCCAAUAGAAAUAAAGUUUAUUACUAAUAAACUCACAUUUCUUUGGCUGCCAUAUUCAUAGAUUUGUUAUCAAUAAACCUUGUCAAGAAAUAGGUCUAUCUUUGAUUUGGUAACGGGUAUUCAAGGAGGAAGAAUAUGUUUUUAUGACUUUAUAUCAAUGAAGAACAUAAAGAACACAACUAAUGACUGACAAGAAAUCUGUUGGUUUUUCAGAAUGCGUUUUCAAAAGUUGUGAACACAAAUGCAGGUCAAAUAGCAAGCAGUUCAAGGGAAAAUGUUCAAGUUACCUAAAACUGGCAUACCCACCUCCAUAUCACUCAAUAGGUAUUUGUGUGAGGGUUAGGAUGUUGAAAUACAAUCUUGUCUUAUUUUGCUAUU
This is a non-coding RNA of Pelobates cultripes (western spadefoot toad), 1314 nucleotides long. Lineage: Eukaryota; Metazoa; Chordata; Amphibia; Anura; Pelobatidae. The record is from the annotation of a GenBank genome assembly.